This 2627-nucleotide long non-coding RNA is filed under the name Triticum aestivum (bread wheat). RNAcentral's name for it is "long non-coding RNA (TAES_LNC012378)". The record is from RNAcentral. Lineage: Eukaryota; Viridiplantae; Streptophyta; Magnoliopsida; Poales; Poaceae.
CCCUGCUCCUCGCGUUGACCGCUCCAGCGCCCUGGCCUGGGUCACCUCUGCUUCGGCCCAGUGGCUCCCCUCCGUCGCGCGCGAGGGCUGCUGCUGGCAAGGCCCAGCGCCCUCUUCCAGCCUCCCUCUCGACCGGACCGGUCCAUGGCCCAUGGUGAGAAUGCCCCCAGCGCCCAUGUCCUGUUUCGGCCUGUAGCUCUAAUUCGGCCCGUGACUUGUUUUUUUUCCUGUGCUGUGAUUUUGUCAUUAUAUCCUGAACAUGCUUAUUACAGAAAUGCCCCUGUUUUAAACUACUAAUAACUAUUUAAUCAUGCAUCCAAAUAAAACAUGUCAUAUAUGUAACAUGCUUAGAAUUUUAUCUAGUUUCACAAUAUCCCAUUUUCAUCCAUGUUUAAAAUGUUUAAAAUGCGGUUUGUUUAAAUUUGUAUAAAUGUCAUGCUAAAAUGAUUUAUUUCAUAACUAAAUAACCGUAGCUCGGUUUUAAAUAAACUUUAUAUGUAAAUGGGGUGGAAAAAUGCCUAGUUUAAUAUGAUGCACUCAUCUUGCAUGUUUAACAACUCUAAAAUAUGUUUUAGGGCAGAACAGUACCAAAUUCAUAAUUUGCACAUGAGGAUUUUCCGGAAUUGUUGUUUGUUGUUCCGGCCUCAUUUAAACUUGCCUAGAUAGGUAGUUUUCAUAUACUUCACCCCUUGCCAUGUUUAACAACAUUUAACAUUGUUGGGUACCUAACGAGAUUAAACUAAAUAUGUCAAUGUGGUGUUUUGUCAAUAUGCAACUCGUUGCAUAUUGAGCUCCACUUAAUUUGUAGUGUUGUUCGUUGCACUUUGCCAUGCCAUCUCUCUUUUAAACCGGACAUGCAUCAUACUUGUUUGUGCAUCAUGUCAUGUUUAUGCUUGUGCAUUUACCAUGUUGUUUGUUUCUUUCCGGUGUUGCUUCUUAGUUCCGGUAAUGUUGCGAUUGUGAGGAUUCAUUCGACUACUCCCGUUCGUCUUCUUCAUGGACUCAUUCUUCUUCCUUGCGGGAUUUCACGCAAGAUGACCGCUACCCUGGAUCUCACUACUAUCAUUGCUAUGCUAGUUGCUUCGUUCUAUUGCUAUGUUGCGCUACCUAUCACCUGUUUAUCAAGCCUCCCAAAUUGCCAUGAACCUCUAACCUUUGACACCCUUCCUAGCAAACCAUUGCUUGGCUAUGUUACCGCUUUGCUCAGCCCCUCUUAUGGCGUUGUUAGUUGCAGGUGAAGUUGAAGAUUGCUCCAUGGUGGACAUGAUUAUGUUUGGGAUAUCACAAUAUCUCUUAUAUUAUUAAUGCAUCUAUAUAUUUGGUAAAGGGUGGAAGGCUCUGCCUUAUGCCUGGUGUUUUGUUCCACUCUUGCCGCCCUAGUUUCCGUCAUACCGGUCUUAUGUUCCCGGAUUUUGCGUUCCUUACGCGGUUGGGUGAUUUAUGGGACCCCCUUGACAGUUUUCUUUGAAUAAAACUCCUCCAGCAAGGCCCAACAUUGGUUUUACCAUUUGCCUCACCAUCACCUACAUUUCCCUUGGGAGUAAUUAACCCAAGUGUCAUCUUUAUUUUAGCCCCCCGGGCCAGUGCUUGUCUAAGUGUUGGUCCAAACCAAGCGAUGUUCGGCGCCCCCUGGGCAACCAGGGUCUAUGCCAACCCGUCGUCUUGCUCAUCCGGUGUGCCCUAAGAACGAGAUAUGUGCAGCUCCUAUCGGGAUUUGUCGACACAGCGGGCGGUCUUGCUGGUCUUGUUUUACCAUUGUCAAAAUGUCUUGUAAACCGGGAUUCCAAGUCUGAUCGGGUCUUCCUGGGAGAAGGUAUAUCCUUCGUUGAUCACGAGAGCUUAUCAUGGGCUAAGUUGGGACACCCCUGCAGGGUAUAAUCUUUCGAAAGCCGUGCCUGCGGUUAUAGGUAGAUGGGAAUUUGUUAAUGUCCGGUUGUAGAUAACUUGACACCAGAUCCGAAUUAAAAUGCAUCAACCACGUGUGUAGCCGUGAUGGUCUCUUUUUCGUGGAGUCUGGGAAGUGAACACGGUUUUGGGUUAUGUUUGACGUAAGUAGGAGUUCAGGAUCACUUCUUGGUCAUUGCUAGCUUCACGACCGUUCCUUUGCUCUCUUCUCGCUCUUAUUUGCGUAUGUUGGCCACCAUAUAUGCUUAGUCGCUGCUGCAGCCUCACCACUUUACCCCUUCCUUUCCCUUUAAGCUUUGCUAGUCUUGAUACCCAUGGUAAUGGGAUUGCUAAGUCCUCGUGGCUCACAAAUUACUACAACAACAGUUGCAGGUACAGGUUUAUACGAUGAUCAUAACGCGAGAGUGAUGUUUGCUUGUAUUGGAGUUCUUCUUCUGCUUCUUCUUUGAUCAGGGGAUAGGUUCCAGGUCGGCAGCCUGGGCUAGCAAGGUGGAUGUCGUUUGAGUUUAUGUUUGUGUUUCAUCCGUAGUCGGAUGAUCCUCUAAUGUAUUGUGAUGUUGUAUUCGUGUGGCAUUGUAUGCCUCUUGUAUGUAUCCCCAUCUAUUAUGUAAUGUUGAUGUAAUGAUAUCCACCUUGCAAAAGCGUUUCAAUAUGCGGGUCUAUCCUUGGUGGGACCUUCGAGUUCCUUUUGGAUAGGGUCGCAUAUUGGGCGUGACAGAGAU